AGGAGAAGGGACAGCUGAGUAACAAAGUCCUGGUACGCAGACGACGAUACUAUUACACUGACAAGAGUGUAAUGAUGAUGGAGACACAAGCCAGAGAAAGGGGGACCAAACACCAGGCCAGAAUUCUGCAUGAGUCAGAUCCAGUGGGUGCAGAUCAUCAUACAGAUGGUUCAAGUGUGGAUCCACCUAAUAUUCAAGAUUUUCUGUCCUGGGACACUUGGCUAACCAUCAAGAAAGAACACACUCCAGUGGGCAUCCUUUAUCCAUCCAGACCCUCAUACAGAUGGUUGGAGUUUUGAUUAACCUAAAGUA
Paramisgurnus dabryanus is the source of this 312-nucleotide non-coding RNA. The record is from RefSeq and is a predicted model, not a curated record. NCBI's taxonomy places the organism in Eukaryota, Metazoa, Chordata, Actinopteri, Cypriniformes, Cobitidae.